This 255-nucleotide ribosomal RNA is filed under the name uncultured bacterium. RNAcentral's name for it is "partial 16S ribosomal RNA". It matches the Rfam family "Bacterial small subunit ribosomal RNA", at positions 524 to 776 of the family's 1533-position model. The record is from RNAcentral.
UACGUAGGGUGCAAGCGUUGUCCGGAAUUAUUGGGCGUAAAGAGCUCGUAGGCGGUCUGUCGCGUCUGCUGUGAAAACUCAGGGCUUAACCCUGAGCUUGCAGUGGGUACGGGCAGACUAGAGUGCGGUAGGGGAGACUGGAAUUCCUGGUGUAGCGGUGAAAUGCGCAGAUAUCAGGAGGAACACCGGUGGCGAAGGCGGGUCUCUGGGCCGUAACUGACGCUCGAGGCGCGGACAGCGUGGGGAUCAAACAGG